This 27-nucleotide small RNA is filed under the name Bombyx mori (domestic silkworm). RNAcentral's name for it is "ovarian small RNA-28617". Lineage: Eukaryota; Metazoa; Arthropoda; Insecta; Lepidoptera; Bombycidae. The record is from RNAcentral.
UCGCAUACCAAUGGUUGUUGUCAGUGC